Molecule: long non-coding RNA, 1484 nt
Organism: Rosa rugosa (rugosa rose)
Lineage: Eukaryota; Viridiplantae; Streptophyta; Magnoliopsida; Rosales; Rosaceae
Exons: 3
Source: RefSeq, a predicted model, not a curated record
UUGGUUACAAAGGACAAACUAAACCCUAUGAUUCUCCUUUUUCGAUCUCUUUCUCUUUCGAUGGACGUGUUGUGAGCAAAUUGACGAUUCACGAGUCGUAUUCUUACCGAUCAGAGCUAAGUUGAUAUUUCUAACUACACCAAAUCUCACACCUUAAAUUACAUUCUCAGGACGAAAGUGAUCGAAUGGUUUUGAAAGGAGGAAAAACAGCCAAUUCUGCUUCGAAAAAGAAGAGGGAUGAGUUGGACAAAAUAAGCAACUUACCCAGUGGUGUUACACAACAAAUCUUGUCAUUUUUGCCCAUCAGGGAGGCAGUGAGGACAAGUAUUUUAUCAAGCAACUGGAGGCACAAAUGGGCUAUGGUUCGGCAUCUUGUGUUCGAUGAUCAAUGUGUUUCGGAUAUGAUGAGAGGUGGUAUAAAGAGGACGAAAACAUUUGAGAAUAUUGUUGAUCAUGUUCUCUUACUUCAUUCUGGUUCCAUAGACACUUGCAAGCUUUCCAGUCGAAUUUAUCUUAUUGAAAGCAGUAGUAUAGAUAUAUAGAUGGGUUCUUCAUCUAUUAAGAAACUCUAAUUCUAUCAAAGAGUUCGUACUGAAACAAGAAGGGAAUAUGUACAAGAUCUCUUCAUGUUUGUUUCUCUAUCCAGAUUUGACUCACUUAGAGCUAUACAAUUGUUUGCUAAAACCCCCUGUGACGUUCAACGGCUUCCCGAGACUGAAGAGCCUCGAAAUUCAAAAUGUUACUGUGGCGCAAGGUGUGUUGGAAAAGGUGAUCAUUUGCUGUCCUCUACUUGAGAGAUUGACUCUAUGUGACUUAAGGAGUAUCACCCAUCUCAACAUUGACGCACCAAAUCUUCAAUUCCUUAAUGUUGGAGGUGGUUUUCAGAGUUUUAAACUUAAGAACACCCCAAAUCUUGUUGGUAUGGAAGUAACAGGCUUCCGUGGUGUGUAGGCCGAAGUAGACUUCCUCAGAGUUCAGCUAUUAAGCUCCCCUCUUCAAGAACUAGAAAUUUCAUUUGGACCGGAGAAGAACAUGAUGAGGUUAGAUGACAACCGGAACUGCACAUCCACACAACUGCGAGUUUUGAAAAUAACUGGCUUUUGUGGUAGUGCCAAAAUGAAAUAAAUUUCAUCCAAUUUCUGCUUUCAAGUUCACCUGUCCUUGAGGAGGAUGACUCUUCAACCUACUUCCGCCAUUGUUUCUUUGGAACUACCAAAAAUAUUGGAAGGUUUUAGGCAUGUUAAGAAAAAUUUCAUGGACCCGUUAAGUCAUUACCCUCCAGGCUAGAGGUAGGUUCCUCCUCUUCUGAUGAGGAUUGAAUGCUACUUGCUAGGAGAGGGAAAGUUAAGGGUUUUGAUGGGCUUUUGCGGGUGGCAUGGUUCCAAAUGAAGGUAGUUUUUGAGAAAAUAUCCUACAAGCUCAUAGUGUUCAUUGUUCUGUAAUGUAACAAUAUGCGGUGAUAUGUCAAAUUAGUAAUGUUUCAU